GUGGAGUUUUCUGAGAACAUCUGCAUUCACCAUUCAUGGGCUACUUUUGGAUGUGCUUGACUGCAUUGUGGAUAGGCACCCUGCAAGAUGAAAUGUGGGACUCUGUGGCAGUAGCUCUGACUGAAGUGUGUGAUCUUGAAUUCGGAUCUUAUAAAAGCCAUCUAAACCUCUCCUAAGUGUCACCAUAGAAAAUGCUGCAGGAAUGAACAUUUCAAGUCUACAGGCAGGAACAGACCUGGUCUGGGGGUCAAUACCUACCUGCGGUGAGCUGUUAAAGAAAUUAUAAUACCUAGACCUGAAACAUGAUUAUACAGUUCUAAAUAAGUACUAUAAAGAUUUUACGAUGAAAUUCGUAGAAAAAGAAAAGAAGGCAUGGAAUGGACCCCAAAUUGAAACUACACCCAAAGUACACCCUUGCACACUGUCAGCUAGCUGGACUAAAGGCCAGCAUGGUUAAAAGAUCUUGUAAUCUCAUUUUGUUACUGCAGACACCCUGAGAGGAGCCUGAACACCUUGCUGUGCAUCAGUUUACUCCCUUGGGUCUUUGCCAGAUGAUACAGAAGACACACCGAAGCCUGCAGCAAUUCAUCUGAGGAUCCUGGCCAAUUUGUUUUUCUAGAAGAGCUAUCACUGGCAUAUACUAUGUGCUCUCACAUGGCUCUAAAGCAUACAGUUCCUUGCCAAACACAGUGAUGGCUGUUUCUAACCAAUAAAUGACGUGAUCUUUGAAGUACUCUCUCUAACUGAAGGAGAAAGCACAGAAAUCCAAUUUAAACAUGCUUCAAGAGUGGUCUGAUGGGACUCUGGGUGUCGGGUGGCUGUUUUUGUGCCCAAGGAACAGUGGGCUUCAUGCAGGCUGAAAAUUGUCUUUGCUACAUGCUUGGGACAUGCCUAGAAAGCUGGAUUCUGCUUUUAGAUGGCACCUGCAAGUUCCAGCCUAGCACAAUGAGCAUCUGGCACACCUCAGUUUGACACUAGUGCUUGCUCUAUAAAUAGAGGAGCACUGGGAUUCAAUGACUGGAUCUGCAAGGAAACACACAGCCACUCUGUCCACAGCAUGUUCUGACCAGGCUAUUGUUACAUCUCCUUGUUAAUGAAGAGAUAUUCAUUGACUACUAGUCCAGUUGUCACACAGUGUUUCAGGGGCACAUGCAGAAAGUGUUAAAACAGUAUGUCAUUUUAUGCCCUCUUGUACUCGUGGGUUGUUUUUCUAGCUUUCCGGUACCAAGCACAGUCCCAUGGAGCUUUAUAUCCUGUUUUUCUCCUGCUGCUUCUGGUGUUUGGUAGGCAGUAUAGAUAAUUAGAAACAAACAGCCCAAAACUUGCUUACACAACUUAUCUCCUUUAUGAAAGAAAGUAUUAAGCCCCUUCAUCACUACCACCUUCCAGAGGCUUUGCAUCACUCUUUUCUGUGGCCUUUCAUAUCUGGAAAGUAACAUGCUGCAACUCUGUCUGUGACAGAAUCCAAAGUCUCCCAAAAGCUACUGGACAGAUGAUUAGUUUUGGUACUAAAUCCUUGGUUUCACUUGUCAUUUACACUAUAAAAGACAAAAUAUUGUCAUUUUCUUUCAAAAAAAGUUAUUUUUACAUCAUUCAGCAAUAGUUCUCUGAACACAGCCACAUAAAGCAUGAGCAAGGAAAGUGUCCUCUUUUUUCCCUUUUCUCUUGAACUCCUUCCUAUUAUAGAGCCAGCAAAACCAACCAGGUUUUCUAAUAGAGGCUGAAACGCUCCUGGAAGUUCUGUGCCUGUGUUUCAGUGGUUCACCUUCAGGCUGGGAUCUCCGCAUUCACCAGCAGCUCCUCACUCAGGCACCUGAACCAUUCCCAGCUCUUGGCCAUUUCAGGGCUAAUUCUGUCCUAGCAAGUGUAUAUCAUACCAGUGAUGACAUACCCUGCAAUACUAAGAUCUUGGUUGGGAAAGGGCUGCCAACAGCAGAGCAGGGCCACAGCCAAGUUCAAGGAGAAGACACAGUGUGUUUUGUGCCUCUGCUACUGAUUCGUGCUCCCUAGAGGACACUCUCAGUCAGAGGAACUGGAUAGCCCAGGUCAACCUGUCCUGUGAAAUUUGCAGCCAAGACCAUCACAAGUAGAGGAGUGAGAUUUCCUAACUGCUAGGGGAAAGGAAAAAAAAAAAA
Coturnix japonica (Japanese quail) is the source of this 2135-nucleotide non-coding RNA. NCBI's taxonomy places the organism in Eukaryota, Metazoa, Chordata, Aves, Galliformes, Phasianidae. The record is from RefSeq and is a predicted model, not a curated record.